CGCACCUUGCGCUCCUUGGUAUUCCGAGGAGCAUGCCUGUUUGAGUGUCAUGGAAUUCUCAACCCAUAGAUCCUUGUGGUCUACGGGCUUGGAUUUGGAGGCUUGCCGGCCCUUACACGGGGUCGGCUCCUCUUGAAUGCAUCAGCUUGAUUCCGUGCGAAUCGGCUUUCAGUGUGAUAAUUGUCUACGCUGUGGCCGUGAAGCGUUUGGCGAGCUUCUAACUGUCCGUUAGGACAACUUCUUGACAUCUGACCUCAAAUCAGGUAGGACUACCCGCUGAACUUAA
This 286-nucleotide unclassified non-coding RNA is filed under the name Agaricomycetes sp. RNAcentral describes it as "partial contains 5.8S ribosomal RNA, internal transcribed spacer 2, and large subunit ribosomal RNA". The record is from RNAcentral. Lineage: Eukaryota; Fungi; Basidiomycota; Agaricomycetes.